UCGAGAAUCUUCUGCAAUGGGCGCAAGCCUGACAGAGCGACGCCGCGUGCGGGAUGAAGGCCCUCGGGUUGUAAACCGCUGUCACUCGUUAAGAAAGCCUGGGGUAGGCCUCCAGGUUGACGUUAGCGAGAAAGGAAGUCACGGCUAACUUCGUGCCAGCAGCCGCGGUAAGACGAAGGUGACGACCGUUGCUCGGAAUCACUGGGCAUAAAGCGCGCGUAGGUGGCUUGGUAAGUCCAUGGUGAAAUCCCUCGGCUCAACCGAGGAACUGCCGUGGAUACUGCCGAGCUUGAGUACGGGAGGGGUAAGUGGAACUCUCGGUGUAGCGGUGAAAUGCGUAGAUAUCGAGAGGAACGCCGGUGGCGAAAGCGACUUACUGGACCGUAACUGACACUGAUGCGCGAAAGCUAGGGGAGCAAACAGGAUUAGAUACCCGCGUAGUCC
RNAcentral lists this ribosomal RNA (444 nucleotides) under uncultured bacterium. Its description in RNAcentral is "bacterial SSU rRNA". It matches the Rfam family "Bacterial small subunit ribosomal RNA", at positions 355 to 796 of the family's 1533-position model. The record is from RNAcentral.